Molecule: non-coding RNA, 73 nt
Organism: Schistocerca americana (American grasshopper)
Lineage: Eukaryota; Metazoa; Arthropoda; Insecta; Orthoptera; Acrididae
Source: the annotation of a RefSeq genome assembly
ACUGCGGUGGUGUAAUGGUCAGCAUAUCAGCCUAGUAAGCGAGAAGACCUGGGUUCGAGUCCCAGCUGCAGCA